RNAcentral lists this ribosomal RNA (429 nucleotides) under Actinomycetes bacterium. RNAcentral's name for it is "Actinobacteria bacterium partial 16S ribosomal RNA". It matches the Rfam family "Bacterial small subunit ribosomal RNA", at positions 355 to 776 of the family's 1533-position model. The record is from RNAcentral. Lineage: Bacteria; Bacillati; Actinomycetota; Actinomycetes.
UAGGGAAUCUUCCGCAAUGGGCGAAAGCCUGACGGAGCAACGCCGCGUGAGUGAUGAAGGUCUUCGGAUCGUAAAACUCUGUUAUUAGGGAAGAACAAAUGUGUAAGUAACUAUGCACGUCUUGACGGUACCUAAUCAGAAAGCCACGGCUAACUACGUGCCAGCAGCCGCGGUAAUACGUAGGUGGCAAGCGUUAUCCGGAAUUAUUGGGCGUAAAGCGCGCGUAGGCGGUUUUUUAAGUCUGAUGUGAAAGCCCACGGCUCAACCGUGGAGGGUCAUUGGAAACUGGAAAACUUGAGUGCAGAAGAGGAAAGUGGAAUUCCGUGUGUAGCGGUGAAAUGCGCAGAGAUAUGGAGGAACACCAGUGGCGGAGGCGACUUUCUGGUCUGUAACUGACGCUGAUGUGCGAAAGCGUGGGGAUCAAACAGG